AGCAGCCGCGGUAAUUCCAGCUCCAAUAGCGUAUAUUAAAGUUGUUGCAGUUAAAAAGCUCGUAGUUGAAUUUCGAGAUUGGUUUAUUGGUCGUGCUUUUGUACGUACUGGUAUUAUCGGUUUCUCCUUUCUGACGAAUCAUAAUGCCAUUAAUUUGGUGUUUUGGGGAAUCAGGACUGUUACUUUGAAAAAAUUAGAGUGUUUAAAGCAGGCUCACGCUUGAAUACAUUAGCAUGGAAUAACGGAAUAGGACGUUUGAUUCUAUUUUGUUGGUUUCUAGGAUCGACGUAAUGAUUAAUAGGGAUAGUUGGGGGCAUUAGUAUUCAAUUGUCAGAGGUGAAAUUCUUGGAUUUAUUGAAGACUAACUACUGCGAAAGCAUUUGCCAAGGAUGUUUUCAUUAGUCAAGAACGAAAGUUAGGGGAUCGAAGACGAUCAGAUACCGUCGUAGUCUUAACUAUAAACUAUGCCGACUAGGGAUCGGAUGAUGUUAAUUUUAAUGACUCAUUCGGCGCCUUACGG
RNAcentral lists this ribosomal RNA (520 nucleotides) under uncultured Glomus. RNAcentral describes it as "SSU rRNA". It matches the Rfam family "Eukaryotic small subunit ribosomal RNA", at positions 569 to 1093 of the family's 1831-position model. Lineage: Eukaryota; Fungi; Glomeromycota; Glomeromycetes; Glomerales; Glomeraceae. The record is from RNAcentral.